AUACUUACCUGGGCGGGGUUGAUCGGUGUUCAGGAAGGCUGAUAGCCUAGGGCGGCUGCUCCCAUUGCACAUGCGGGGGUGGGUCUCCCUACCAUCCCUCUUAAUGAGGGAAUGGACGUCAUAAUUUGUGGCAGGGGGGGUACGCGUUCGCGCGGCCCCCAC
Molecule: small nuclear RNA, 162 nt
Filed under: Amborella trichopoda
Lineage: Eukaryota; Viridiplantae; Streptophyta; Magnoliopsida; Amborellales; Amborellaceae
Description: snRNA U1
Rfam family: U1 spliceosomal RNA
About the family: U1 is a small nuclear RNA (snRNA) component of the spliceosome (involved in pre-mRNA splicing). Its 5' end forms complementary base pairs with the 5' splice junction, thus defining the 5' donor site of an intron. There are significant differences in sequence and secondary structure between metazoan and yeast U1 snRNAs, the latter being much longer (568 nucleotides as compared to 164 nucleotides in human).
Source: Rfam by way of RNAcentral